This 508-nucleotide ribosomal RNA is filed under the name uncultured bacterium. Its description in RNAcentral is "bacterial SSU rRNA". It matches the Rfam family "Bacterial small subunit ribosomal RNA", at positions 343 to 842 of the family's 1533-position model. The record is from RNAcentral.
GGCAGGCAGCAGUAGGGAAUCUUCCACAAUGGGCGCAAGCCUGAUGGAGCAACACCGCGUGAGUGAAGAAGGGUUUCGGCUCGUAAAGCUCUGUUGUUGGAGAAGAACGUGCGUGAGAGUAACUGUUCACGCAGUGACGGUAUCCAACCAGAAAGUCACGGCUAACUACGUGCCAGCAGCCGCGGUAAUACGUAGGUGGCAAGCGUUAUCCGGAUUUAUUGGGCGUAAAGCGAGCGCAGGCGGUUGCUUAGGUCUGAUGUGAAAGCCUUCGGCUUAACCGAAGAAGUGCAUCGGAAACCGGGCGACUUGAGUGCAGAGGAGGACAGUGGAACUCCAUGUGUAGCGGUGGAAUGCGUAGAUAUAUGGAAGACCACCAGUGGCGAAGGCGGCUGUCUGGUCUGCAACUGACGCUGAGGCUCGAAAGCAUGGGUAGCGAACAGGAUUAGAUACCCUGGUAGUCCAUGCCGUAAACGAUGAGUGGUAGGUGUUGGAGGGUUUCCGCCCUUCA